RNAcentral lists this long non-coding RNA (2565 nucleotides) under Oncorhynchus kisutch (coho salmon). RNAcentral's name for it is "lncRNA (ENSOKIG00005011167.1)". Lineage: Eukaryota; Metazoa; Chordata; Actinopteri; Salmoniformes; Salmonidae. The record is from RNAcentral.
CCUUGCACUGUUUCCAAAUGCAUUUGUGACAUAAAUCCCAUUUAGCAUGUUCAAAUCAUCUAUAAGUGACUUCAGAAUCAAUUUGAGAUAGUUUCAGAUGAUGCGCAAAAAAAUCGGUCCCAUGACUUGAAUGGGGUUUGUGCCACAAAUACUAAAAGGUUAGCAUUUGGAAACAAAACCAAAGCAAGGGAAAGAAAACCAAGGCGUGGAUUGCUGUCAUACCUUACAGGGUAAGGAAACCAAUGUGUCAUUUUGUAAUUUGUGUGAAUUAUCCCUUUAAUAAAAGCUAGCUAUAUUUUACUGUGUUGUUGGGUACAAGUGCCCAGUUCGUCCUCAUUGCCUGUUUUUUGUUACACCUGUUUUUUUAUUACACCUUGAUUGACACUUCUGCUGUGUUGCCUGUCUCUAUACUGUAGCUAGCAAGCUAAUUCCAUUACACAGGAGUCCUGAGAAACGCAACAGCUAGCUAGUUUUGUCAAGCAUUCUUUAUAUUAAGGAAAAACACGAGAACACAUUCAUUUAAGACUUACCAGACUUCCGUAGGCCAUAACAAGCACUACGUUGACGCUGGAGAGAGGAGAAUCGGACCUCAUGUUGAAAGUCUUCGUCAAAAGCUAAACUAGCGUAGAAUCAACAGAACUCACUCAUAGUUCCUUUCAGAAUGUACACGAUUGACUGUAACAUUAAUGAUCAAAUCUCGGUUAAUCCAUUGGAAAAUAUGUAACAACGAAGCGUUGACACUUCCCUGUUGUUGAUAUCGUUUGUUGACAUCCGGGAUUGUCACGUGAUCUACUCCCUGCCUUCUGGUUUCGAUGACGUAGCCGUAGCCGACAAAGGUCCUUCACCGCCACCUGCUGUUCGACACCCCACGAAACACAGGCGCUCCUCUCCAAUGAAGAAGCCAUUCUUCUUGAGGAGACUGCGGUGGGAGGCUGAAAAUAUGUCUGGAGUUGCAGAUGUGAACAUUGGGAUCUUUCCCUCACAUAGCCAGUCCAGUGCUACUCUGUCCAGCAAAGAUCUUCAUUUACAUUUUAUAUAGCACUAAUAAAGCUGUACAUGGGUGGAAACAGAAACUCUCCUCAUCCAUUACCAACGUGUAGCACCCAUCUGAUUUCUCUGACUCAACAGUGUUUCCCCUAUUGAAUAUUGCUUGGCUGGGUGGGAAAUCUCUCAAAGCAAAACCCCCGGGCCUCUGACACCAAAACAUUCCAUUACAGCUAAUGCUUUAGGGUGGUCAACAGAGAUGGUGCCUAGCCUAUACAAACAUUGAACUGUCAAGCAAGCAAACCAUUUAUCUGAAUUGGCAUCUCCUGAAACUGAACUGUUUCUGCGUAAACAUUAUAUUUUUCUCUUUUUUGUUUUUCUGUGAUAUAUAAGGUGACAAGUAAGUUUGCCUAUGUGUUGUCAUUGCAUGGACUUUGGUCAUUCAUGAUAUAGAUAUAGGCUAAUGUCACCAUUCCAUAGUCCAUGAUAUCUUGGGGAGACUUUGAGAUUGGCUCAUUUGGCUGAUACUGUAUCUGCACGCAUCCACGAGCCAUCUGUCUGUACACUGUGACAGUCUAGUCAUCUAUAACCCAAACCACUACCCUGCUUCUGUUAUGCUACUGGCUGACUGCCCCUGGCUGACUGCCCCUGGCUGACUGCCCCUGGCUGACUGCUACUGGCUGACUGCCCCUGGCUGACUGCCCCUGGCUGACUGCUACUGGCUGACUGCCCCUGGCUGACUGCUCUUGGCUGACUGCUACUGGCUGACUGCCACUGGCUGACUGCUACUGGCUGACUGCCACUGGCUGACUGCUACUGGCUGACUGCCACUGGCUGACUGCCACUGGCUCACUGCUCUUGGUUGACUGCUACUGGCUGACUGUCUGCUACUGGUGGAUUUAAGGGGUGAUGGCUGUAACUUGUUGCUUCACUAGAGUUGCACAAACACAUGUAAGUAUUGUACCUUUCUUAUUACAGAUUAUACAGAAAUGUUACAAUGUUGUAUGUCACAUGAUCCGAAUACAACAGGUACCGUGAAAUACAACACCUUACCGUGAAAUGCUUACCUUCAAGCCCUUAACCAACAAUUCAGAUUUUUAAGUAAGCAAGAAAAUAUUUGCUAUAUAUAUAUAUAUAUCAUUAAAAAAUAACAACAACAAGGCUAUAUACAGGGGGUGCCAGUACUGAGUCAAUGUGCGAGGGUACAGGUUAGUCGAGGUAAUUGAGGAAACAUGUACAUGUAGGUAGGGGUAAAGUGACUGCAUAGAUACUAACAGCAAGCAGCAGCAGCCUAAAAAAGGGGGUCAAUGAAAAUAGUCUGAGUAGCCAUUUGAUUUACUGUUUAGCAGUCUCAUGGCUUGGGGAUAGAAGCUGUUAUUAAGGAGACUUUUGGACUUUGAAUUGAUGCUCCAGUACCACUUGCCAUGCGGUAGCAGAGAGAACAGUCUAUGACUUCGGUGGUUAGAGUCUUUGACAAUUUUUAGGGCCUUCCUCCUACACUGCCUGGUAUAUUUUUUUAUUUAACUAGGCAAGAACAAAUUCUUAUUUUACAAUGAUGGCCUACCCCGGCCAAUCCCUCCC